Molecule: ribosomal RNA, 514 nt
Filed under: uncultured Sphingobacterium sp.
Lineage: Bacteria; Pseudomonadati; Bacteroidota; Sphingobacteriia; Sphingobacteriales; Sphingobacteriaceae
Also listed under: 1 other name
Description: bacterial SSU rRNA
Rfam family: Bacterial small subunit ribosomal RNA
Source: RNAcentral
GAGUUUGAUCAUGGCUCAGGAUGAACGCUAGCGGCAGGCCUAAUACAUGCAAGUCGAACGGGACUUGGUAGCAAUAUCAAGUUCAGUGGCGCACGGGUGCGUAACGCGUAUGCAACCUACCUUUAACUGGGGGAUAGCCUUCCGAAAGGGAGAUUAAUACCGCAUAAUAUCAUUUGAUGGCAUCUGAAGAUGAUUAAAGAUUUAUUGGUUAAAGAUGGGCAUGCGUGCCAUUAGCUAGUUGGUAGUGUAACGGACUACCAAGGCGACGAUGGCUAGGGGUUCUGAGAGGAUGAUCCCCCACACUGGUACUGAGAUACGGACCAGACUCCUACGGGAGCAGCAGUAGGGAAUAUUGGGCAAUGGACGGAAGUCUGACCCAGCCAUGCCGCGUGCAGGAAGAAGGCCUUCUGGGUUGUAAACUGCUUUUUGUACGGGAAGAAACACUCCCUCGUGAGGGAGCUUUGACGGUACCGUAAGAAUAAGGAUCGGCUAACUCCGUGCCAGCAGCCGCCGC